GUUGACUCAGCCUUCUGUCAUUCUGACACAUAAAAUGAGGACCCAGUUUGUUGGGGACAAUAUGCUGACACUGUCAAUCAAGUGGCAUAAAGCACUUUGGGGUCUUAUAUACAUAGUAUAUAUGUCUGAUUGCUAUUGCUGUAAUAAAUAGCUUUAAAGAUAAUGAGCUUGAAUUGCACCUUAAACGGAUGCUGUAUAGCUUGCACCACAAAGAUGUUACAUGGGUAACCUAGGAGCCUCCCUUACUAUGUGCGCUGUUGUGUUCUGGACCAGUUGAAGUGCAGGAAUUCAAACAGGAGGUGACCAAGGCAAGAGUGACCCCUUGUGCAAUGCGUCGCGGUCCAGAAAAGGCCACAAUUGGCACCCAAGAUGAAUCUGUUGAAAGCCCCUCCCCCAGCCAUGCCCACCUCAAGCAGGAGUUGUGAGUCCAGGAGGGCCUCCAGUUUGUGCAACCAACUCAGUCACCACAGGGGAUCAUAUGACCCCAGAACACUACAACUGUCGCAAAGAGAAGUACAUUGCCCAGUCUGAAUUAUUGAUCAUGUGACAAUGCUGCUGUGGCCUUUAAGUGUGAAAAAUGGUCAUGUCUUUCUUUUCAAUGACUUUGUAACUUCAAAUGAUCACUAAAUGAAGCAAAUUGAGGACAGCCUGUACAUAAUUGGAUAUCAUAAUUGGAUGGACGGUCUCACCUAACAGUUCAAUUGUAGGUGUUAAACCUCGUUGCUUGCUCAGGGUAAUCAUGGCAGUUCCAGCUUCAAGAAUGCAGAGUGGAAAAUAAUAUUUCCUAUCUAGAUGGGUUUGGAAGCAAUGUGGGUGGCCACUUCAAGGUUUCAUAUUUCAUUUUUCUGUUAAAGGGAGAUUAAGCUGGCAAUCAUUUAAGGCUGCAGAUACAAACAAGACCUUUAUCAACUUUUAUAAUGCAGCACCUGGUAGUCUUGUGAAGCUAAGUAGCGUUAAGCAUCACUCUUCAAGCUUCCCUCAGUGGCAAAUAUCGUCUUGGGGAGUUUCCUGCACCCCCAAGAGAAAACUGGCUGGAAGGGCUUUCACUGAUUCAUAAGGGAGGAGCCCUUUCUCCUUGCAUGGUGGCACUCCCCCCCCCCCCAGAUGCUUUCCCUUGGUUUAGUUCCUGCAAAAGAAGCUCCUGGCUCAGUUGCCGGGACAAUGAGGGCAACCCUACCAGACCCCAAAGGACAGACUAGGGCUAUAGCCGCCUCUUCAACACCUUAACUAUUACAGCUUCAACCAUUUGCCAAGGUAGGUUUGGGGGAGUUCUGCACCUCCAUCACCACCCAAACUGCAAGGGAGGUGCAUAUUCAGGUUGGCUAUUGGACGCUUUCCUUUGGUUUAGUUGGAGCAAGAGGGACAGUGAGUGAACUCUUGGGAGACCUGAAAGAAAAGGUAUUAGAUUGUCAUGGACGAAAGCUGUUCCUGUGCUAGGUGGGGGAUCGAAUGCAUCACACCGAAGGAAUGCACGAAAGCCUCUUGCAAAAGCUUCAGGAUAGAUAGAACGAGGGUGAUUUUCAACCCUAUGUCGCUAGAUGGCGCUCUACAAAGAAGCAACACUCACGCCUUAGGAAGCAGUAAACAGUACAGCAGCGGCACCGCUGGUUUUAACAUUAUACCGGAAGGAGAGAGGCCGAGCUGGAACGAAUUGAAACGAGAGAGUAUUAGAUUGCUAGAGAGGACGUGAAGGAAAGGAGAGCAGAGGAACUUUCCCUUCCGGGUCACAUAGGGGGAGUAUUUUGGUGUUGACGGACCCUCUUGUGUUGUUUCAAGGGUGGAAGCGGCUCCUGGGAGACAAAGAGGAUGCCAAGAAGAGCACUCUGGACAACAGAUCAUUAAAAACAGAUAUAAAAUG
Thamnophis elegans (Western terrestrial garter snake) is the source of this 1858-nucleotide long non-coding RNA. RefSeq lists it as uncharacterized. Lineage: Eukaryota; Metazoa; Chordata; Lepidosauria; Squamata; Natricidae. The transcript is spliced from 2 exons. The record is from RefSeq and is a predicted model, not a curated record.